UUUUUUGUAUCAUUUUGAUAGGGUAUCGAGUUGCUGAAUGCGCAAUGGACGUUGCGCGAUACAAAGCGGUCUCCUCUACGGCUGCGGCUAACCGAACGAGAAAGUUCAAAAGAGUGCACAGAACGGAGAGAGUGCAGAGAAAAGGGCAAAGUCCGUCUGUUUGGUGGAAAAAAGGGGCAGCCAGGAGUGAGCAGAAACAGA
Non-coding RNA from Caenorhabditis elegans, 201 nucleotides. The record is from Ensembl. Lineage: Eukaryota; Metazoa; Nematoda; Chromadorea; Rhabditida; Rhabditidae.